GAGUUUGAUCCUGGCUCAGAGCGAACGCUGGCGGCAUCGCUUUGACACAUGCAAGUCGAGCGAGAAAGCGGCGUUCUGGUCGCAAGUAUAGCUGGCGGACUGGGUGCAGUAUAACAGUGGAUAACCUGCCUUAAGGACCGGGACAAGCNCUUGGGAAACCAAGGCUAAUACCUGGAUAUGACCUACUGAUGUCUGAGGGCAACGGGGUAAACACGAUGACCGUUGUACGGUUGUCGCCGUUUUGAGGGGUCCACGUCCUAUCAGGUAGUUGGUGGGGUAAAGGCCUACCGAAGCCAAAGACUGGGUAGGCCGGCCUUAGCUGGGUGAUCGGCACGACGGGGACUGAGAACGGCNCCUGAUUCCUACAGGGAGGCAGCAGUGGGGAAUGAUUGGGCAAUCGGGCGAAAUGCCUGACCCAGGGAUGCCUGUGUGAGGGAAGAACGGCCUUCGGGUUGUCAACCUAUGUCAAGGAGGGAAGAAUGGGUCUGCAAAUUCAACCUUGCGGGCUUGACUGUCCCUCCAGAAGGAAGCCCCGGUAACUCCGUGCCAGCAGGCGGGGUAAUACGGAGGGGGCAAGCGUUGCUCGGGAAUUACGUGGGCGUAAAAGACGUCCAGAGGUGGUCUCGCCACGUUCGGUGUGAAAGCCCGGAGCUUAAAUCCGGAAUUGGCAUCAAAGGUGGUGCAUUGAACUCCAGAGAAGGUGGGGGAACACCCGGUGUAAGGGGAAUGGUAAUAUCGGGAGGACACCGU
This 750-nucleotide ribosomal RNA is filed under the name uncultured bacterium. RNAcentral's name for it is "bacterial SSU rRNA". It matches the Rfam family "Bacterial small subunit ribosomal RNA", at positions 9 to 712 of the family's 1533-position model. The record is from RNAcentral.